AUUGAACGCUGGCGGCAUGCCUUACACAUGCAAGUCGAACGGCAGCACGGGAGCAAUCCUGGUGGCGAGUGGCGAACGGGUGAGUAAAGUAUCGGAACGUGCCCAGUCGUAGGGGAUAACGUAGCGAAAGUUACGCUAAUACCGCAUACGAUCUAUGGAUGAAAGCGGGGGAUCGCAAGACCUCGCGCGAUUGGAGCGGCCGAUAUCAGAUUAGGUAGUUGGUGGGGUAAAGGCUCACCAAGCCGACGAUCUGUAGCUGGUCUGAGAGGACGACCAGCCACACUGGGACUGAGACACGGCCCAGACUCCUGCGGGAGGCAGCAGUGGGGAAUUUUGGACAAUGGGCGAAAGCCUGAUCCAGCCAUGCCGCGUGCAGGAUGAAGGCCUUCGGGUUGUAAACUGCUUUUGUACGGAACGAAAAGGUUUGGCCUAAUAAGCUGAGCUCAUGACGGUACCGUAAGAAUAAGCACCGGCUAACUACGUGCCAGCCGCCGCGGUAA
RNAcentral lists this ribosomal RNA (500 nucleotides) under uncultured bacterium. Its description in RNAcentral is "partial 16S ribosomal RNA". It matches the Rfam family "Bacterial small subunit ribosomal RNA", at positions 30 to 523 of the family's 1533-position model. The record is from RNAcentral.